GACGAACGCUGGCGGCGUGCUUAACACAUGCAAGUCGAACGGGUCUGCCCUGUUUUUUGCGGGGUGGGUCAGUGGCGAACGGGUGAGUAACACGUGAGUAACCUGCCCCUCACUUCUGGAUAACCGCUUGAAAGGGUGGCUAAUACGGGGUGUUCUGGCUGUGCCGCAUGGUGUGGCUGGGAAAGAUUCACUUUUGUGGUGUUUUGGUGGGGGAUGGGCUCGCGGCCUAUCAGCUUGUUGGUGGGGUGAUGGCCUGCCAAGGCUUUGACGGGUAGCCGGCCUGAGAGGGUGGGCGGUCACACUGGGACUGGGAUACGGCCCAGACUCCUGCGGGAGGCAGCAGUGGGGGGUAUUGCACAAUGGGCGGAAGCCUGAUGCAGCGACGUCGCGGGAGGGAUGGAGGCCUUCGGGUUGUGAACCUCUUUCGCCGGUGAAGAAGGUCCUGCUCUUUGUGGUGGGGUUGACGGUAGCCGGGUUAUGAAGCGCCGGCUAACUACGUG
This 500-nucleotide ribosomal RNA is filed under the name uncultured bacterium. Its description in RNAcentral is "partial 16S ribosomal RNA". It matches the Rfam family "Bacterial small subunit ribosomal RNA", at positions 28 to 507 of the family's 1533-position model. The record is from RNAcentral.